RNAcentral lists this long non-coding RNA (631 nucleotides) under Equus caballus (horse). RNAcentral's name for it is "lncRNA (ENSECAG00000052781.1)". Lineage: Eukaryota; Metazoa; Chordata; Mammalia; Perissodactyla; Equidae. The record is from RNAcentral.
GCUCUUUUUCUGCGAGGAGCAAACGCCCGCCCGCAGCUAAGGUUCAGAAAUUUGCCACACUGUAUCAGAAACAGAUCCAGCCUUCAGCGAGGCCAAGGUCCUGGCGGCGCAGGCCCCAGCUCUGGAGACUUUGCAGCCCACCAGGGGGCCACGGAGGGUGAGGCUCCGGCCAGAGGUCAAGGCUGCCCAGGACGCUGCCAAUGAGCUCUGUCCUGCCACUGGCGGGACGUUAGGAACCCCGCCACCCAAACCGCCCACAUUUCCAUUUCAAAGACCUUCCCACCCCCUGGGCAAAGCCUCCGGAAGCACAAUGGACGUUCCAGGAUGUUGGGACACCAGGCCCAGAGACUGUGUCCCGGAGAGCAGGAGAACAGAGAACCUGGGAUCCCCUGCUCCCCUCAAGAGACUUUUCUGGCUGCAAGCACCUGAAAUUUGUUCUGGAGGCCAGAAGUCCGAAAUCAAGGAGCUGACGGAGCUGCUCCCUCCGUAGGCUCUGAGGGAGAUCUGUCCGGCCUUGCGCCCUGCCUCUGGUGGCCACUGGCUGUCCUCAGUGUUCCUUGCCUUACAGAUGCCUCACCCCAGCCUCUACCUCCGUCUGCACAUCACCUUCUCCUCUGCGUGUCCUCUCCCC